Molecule: ribosomal RNA, 503 nt
Filed under: uncultured bacterium
Lineage: Bacteria
Description: partial 16S ribosomal RNA
Rfam family: Bacterial small subunit ribosomal RNA
Source: RNAcentral
AUUGAACGCUGGCGGCAGGCUUAACACAUGCAAGUCGAGCGGGGUGAUGGUGCUUGCACUAUCACUUAGCGGCGGACGGGUGAGUAAUGCUUAGGAAUCUGCCUAUUAGUGGGGGACAACAUCUCGAAAGGGAUGCUAAUACCGCAUACGUCCUACGGGAGAAAGCAGGGGAUCACUUGUGACCUUGCGCUAAUAGAUGAGCCUAAGUCGGAUUAGGUAGUUGGUGGGGUAAAGGCCUAACAAGGCGACGAUCUGUAGCGGGUCUGAGAGGAUGAUCCGCCACACUGGGACUGAGACACGGCCCAGACUCCUACGGGAGGCAGCAGUGGGGAAUAUUGGACAAUGGGGGGAACCCUGAUCCUGCCAUGCCGCGUGUGUGAAGAAGGCCUUAUGGUUGUAAAGCACUUUAAGCGAGGAGGAGGCUCUUUUGGUUAAUACCCAAGAUGAGUGGACGUUACUCGCAGAAUAAGCACCGGCUAACUCUGUGCCAGCCGCCGCCGUAA